AACGAGGCCGACCUGCGGCUGAGUUACCUGCGGAGGGAUCAUUACAGAGUUCAUGCCCUCACGGGUAGAUCUCCCACCCUUGAAUACUAUACCUUUGUUGCUUUGGCGGGCCGCUUUGGCUACUGGCUCUGGCUAGUAAGUGCCCGCCAAAGAACCCCAAAACUCUGAAUAUUAGUGUCGUCUGAGUACUAUAUAAUAGUUAAAACUUUCAGCAAUGGAUCUCAGAUCGGAAGAGCACAC
This 240-nucleotide unclassified non-coding RNA is filed under the name soil metagenome. Its description in RNAcentral is "partial contains 5.8S ribosomal RNA, internal transcribed spacer 2, and large subunit ribosomal RNA". The record is from RNAcentral.